AAUCAACGCUGGCGGCGUGCCUCAGACAUGCAAGUCGAACGCGAAAGUUUCCUUCGGGAGAUGAGUAGAGUGGCGCACGGGUGAGUAACACGUAGGUAAUUUGCCUUUGGGUGGGGAAUACCAACCGGAAACGGUUGUUAAUACCGCAUAAUGCAGCGGCAUCAUAAGAUGACAGUUGUUAAAGCGGGGGAUUCGUAAGAACCUCGCGCCUAAAGAGGAGCCUGCGGCGGAUUAGGUAGGUGAGGUAAUGCUCACCAAGCCUGCGAUCCGUAACCGACCUGAGAGGGUGGUCGGUCACACUG
This 302-nucleotide ribosomal RNA is filed under the name uncultured bacterium. RNAcentral's name for it is "bacterial SSU rRNA". It matches the Rfam family "Bacterial small subunit ribosomal RNA", at positions 32 to 315 of the family's 1533-position model. The record is from RNAcentral.